GACGAACGCUGGCGGCGUGCUUAACACAUGCAAGUCGAACGGUAAGGCCCUUCGGGGUACACGAGUGGCGAACGGGUGAGUAACACGUGGGUGAUCUGCCCUGCACUUCGGGAUAAGCCUGGGAAACUGGGUCUAAUACCGGAUAGGACCCUGGGAUGCAUGUCCUGGGGUGGAAAGCUUUUGCGGUGUGGGAUGGGCCCGCGGCCUAUCAGCUUGGUGGUGGGGUGAGGGCCUACCAAGGCGACGACGGGUAGCCGGCCUGAGGGGGUGACCGGCCACACUGGGACUGAGAGACGGCCCAGACUCCUACGGGAGGCAGCGGUGGGGAAUAUUGCACAAUGGGCGCAAGCCUGAUGCAGCGACGCCGCGUGAGGGAUGACGGCCUUCGGGUUGUAAACCUCUUUCAGCACCGACGAAGCGCAAGUGACGGUAGGUGCAGAAGAAGGACCGGCCAACUACGUGCCAGCCGCCGCGGUAA
This 478-nucleotide ribosomal RNA is filed under the name uncultured bacterium. Its description in RNAcentral is "partial 16S ribosomal RNA". It matches the Rfam family "Bacterial small subunit ribosomal RNA", at positions 28 to 523 of the family's 1533-position model. The record is from RNAcentral.